This 235-nucleotide long non-coding RNA is filed under the name Helianthus annuus (common sunflower). RNAcentral's name for it is "hypothetical non coding rna". The record is from RNAcentral. Lineage: Eukaryota; Viridiplantae; Streptophyta; Magnoliopsida; Asterales; Asteraceae.
GCAUAUCUUCCAAUGUUUGUAUAGUCCGUUCGCUCUGGCCGUAUAUCUGAGGAUGAAAUGUCGUGCUUAGAUCUAGUUGAGAUCCAAAGGCUUCCUGAAAUGAUUGCCAGAUCCUUGAGACAAAGCGUCCAUCUCUGUCUGAAAUAAUAGAAAUAGGCACUCCAUGACGUGUCACAAUUUCUUUCAGGUAUAUUUCAGCAAGCUUUCCAGUGUUAUCCUUCUCACGGAUUGGUAG